GACGAACGCUGGCGGCGUGCUUAACACAUGCAAGUCGAACGGAAAGGCCCUGCUUUUGUGGGGUGCUCGAGUGGCGAACGGGUGAGUAACACGUGAGUAACCUGCCCUGGACUUUGGGAUAACUUCAGGAAACUGGGGCUAAUACCGGAUAGGAGCUCCUGCUGCAUGGUGGGGGUUGGAAAGUUUAGGCGGAUGUGGAUGUACUCGCGGCUAAUCAGCUUGUUGGUGGGGUACUGGCUUAGGCAGGGUUUGACGGGUAGCCGGCAUGGGAGGGGGGCCGGGGACAUGGGGCCUGAGAGACGGAGCAGACGGCUAUGUGAGGCAACGGGGGGGAGCAUUGCACAGUGGGGGGGAGCGUGAUACGGAGGCGUCCCGAGCGUGAAGAAGGCCUUCGGGUUGUAAACCGCUUUCGGCUGUGACGAAGCGUGAGUGACGGUAAUGGGUAAAGAAGCACCGGCUAACUACGUG
RNAcentral lists this ribosomal RNA (468 nucleotides) under uncultured bacterium. RNAcentral's name for it is "partial 16S ribosomal RNA". It matches the Rfam family "Bacterial small subunit ribosomal RNA", at positions 28 to 507 of the family's 1533-position model. The record is from RNAcentral.